AUACGUAGGGUGCAAGCGUUAAUCGGAAUUACUGGGCGUAAAGCGUGCGCAGGCGGUUUUGUAAGACAGUGGUGAAAUCCCCGGGCUCAACCUGGGAACUGCCAUUGUGACUGCAAGGCUGGAGUGCGGCAGAGGGGGAUGGAAUUCCGCGUGUAGCAGUGAAAUGCGUAGAUAUGCGGAGGAACACCGAUGGCGCAGGCAAUCCCCGGGGCCUGCACUGACGCUCAUGCACGAAAGCGUGGGGAGCAAACAGGAUUAGAUACCCUGGUAGUCCACGCCCUAAACGAUGUCAACUGGUUGUUGGGGAUUUAUUUUCUCAGUAACGAAGCUAACGCGUGAAGUUGACCGCCUGGGGAGUACGGCCGCAAGGUUAAAACUCAAAUGAAUUGACGGGG
This 395-nucleotide ribosomal RNA is filed under the name uncultured bacterium. RNAcentral's name for it is "partial 16S ribosomal RNA". It matches the Rfam family "Bacterial small subunit ribosomal RNA", at positions 523 to 918 of the family's 1533-position model. The record is from RNAcentral.